UAGUCCACACCGUAAACGAUGAGAGCUAGUUGUCUGCAGGCAUGCCUGUAGGUGACGCAGCUAACGCAUUAAGCUCUCCGCCUGGGGAGUACGGUCGCAAGAUUAAAACUCAAAGGAAUUGACGGGGACCCGCACAAGCGGUGGAGCAUGUUGUUUAAUUCGACGCAACGCGAAGAACCUUACCUACACUUGACAUACUCGUCGGGACUUUCAGAGAUGAUUGUCUUCGGUUCGGCCGGACGAUGUACAGGUGCUGCACGGCUGUCGUCAGCUCGUGUCGUGAGAUGUUUGGUUAAGUCCAGCAACGAGCGCAACCCCUAUCGUAUGUUGCCAGCAUUCAGUUGGGCACUCAUGCGAGACUGCCGGUGUUAAGCCGGAGGAAGGUGGGGACGACGUCAAGUCAUCAUGGCCCUUACGUGUAGGGCUACAAACGUGCUACAAUGGGAGUUACAGUGGGCAGCGACGUCGCGAGGCGAAGCUAAUCCCU
RNAcentral lists this ribosomal RNA (487 nucleotides) under uncultured bacterium. RNAcentral describes it as "bacterial SSU rRNA". It matches the Rfam family "Bacterial small subunit ribosomal RNA", at positions 791 to 1276 of the family's 1533-position model. The record is from RNAcentral.